This 394-nucleotide long non-coding RNA is filed under the name Monodelphis domestica (gray short-tailed opossum). RNAcentral's name for it is "lncRNA (ENSMODG00000037241.1)". Lineage: Eukaryota; Metazoa; Chordata; Mammalia; Didelphimorphia; Didelphidae. The record is from RNAcentral.
UAAGACAAAAAGUAAGGUUUUUUUUAAAGGAUGAAAUUUUUCCUGCAUUGUUCUAGGAAACAGAACUUCGACCCAGUGGAGAGAAGCUCAAUCUGAGGAAUUUUUUUCCUAAAAUUAAAUGCUCUCCAGAGGUGGAAUGGCCAUCCUUUUGAGUGAAAUUUGCCAUAAACUUUCAUUCUGCAGUCUCAGAUCUUUGCUCUUCAUGAGAGGAGGGCCAGGGAAUAAGCCCAGAAAUACAUGGGCCAUCAAUUCUGACUCAAAGCCCAACAUGAGGCAUCAUGAUGUCAUGAAUUGGGGAUCAGAGAGAUCUGGAUUCAAAUUCUGCUUGGGACAUGUCAGAGUGGCCAGAGAUCACAGAUUCUUGGAGAUUAUGAUAGCAUAUGCCAUGCAGGAU